Non-coding RNA from Phrynosoma platyrhinos (Desert horned lizard), 72 nucleotides. The record is from the annotation of a GenBank genome assembly. NCBI's taxonomy places the organism in Eukaryota, Metazoa, Chordata, Lepidosauria, Squamata, Phrynosomatidae.
GACAGUGUUGUGUAGUGGUUUGAGCGCUGGACUAUGACUCUAGAGACCAGGGUUCGAUUCCCCGCUUGGCCA